RNAcentral lists this ribosomal RNA (253 nucleotides) under uncultured bacterium. RNAcentral's name for it is "partial 16S ribosomal RNA". It matches the Rfam family "Bacterial small subunit ribosomal RNA", at positions 524 to 776 of the family's 1533-position model. The record is from RNAcentral.
UACGUAGGGUGCAAGCGUUAAUCGGAAUUACUGGGCGUAAAGGGCGCGUAGGCGGCCUUCUAAGUCAGACGUGAAAUCCCCCGGCUUAACCUGGGAACUGCGUCUGAUACUGGGAGGCUUGAGUAUGGGAGAGGGAUGUAGAAUUCCAGGUGUAGCGGUGAAAUGCGUAGAUAUCUGGAGGAAUACCGGUGGCGAAGGCGGCAUCCUGGACCAUUACUGACGCUGAGGCGCGAAAGCUAGGGGAGCAAACGGG